AAGCGUAUAUUAAAGUUGUUGCAGUUAAAACGCUCGUAGUCGGGUUUCGGGUCGGGCCGAGCGGUCUGCCGAUGGGUAUGCACUGUUUGGCGCGGCCUUCUUUCCGGAGACCGCGGCUACUCUUAACUGAGCGGGCGUGGGAGACGGAUCGUUUACUUUGAAAAAAUCAGAGUGUUUCAAGCAGGCAGCUCGCUCUUGCAUGGAUUAGCAUGGGAUAAUGAAAUAGGACUCUGGUGCUAUUUUGUUGGUUUCGAACACCGGAGUAAUGAUUAACAGGGACAGUCAGGGGCACUCGUAUUCCGUCGAGAGAGGUGAAAUUCUCAGACCAAUGGAAGACGAACCACUGCGAAAGCAUUUG
RNAcentral lists this ribosomal RNA (358 nucleotides) under Haptophyta environmental samples. RNAcentral describes it as "SSU rRNA". It matches the Rfam family "Eukaryotic small subunit ribosomal RNA", at positions 595 to 957 of the family's 1831-position model. Lineage: Eukaryota; Haptophyta. The record is from RNAcentral.